UACGUAGGGCGCAAGCGUUGUCCGGAAUUAUUGGGCGUAAAGAGCUCGUAGGCGGCUUGUCACGUCGGAUGUGAAAGCCCGAGGCUUAACCUCGGGUCUGCAUUCGAUACGGGCUAGCUAGAGUGUGGUAGGGGAGAUCGGAAUUCCUGGUGUAGCGGUGAAAUGCGCAGAUAUCAGGAGGAACACCGGUGGCGAGGGCGGAUCUCUGGGCCAUUACUGACGCUGAGGAGCGAAAGCGUGGGGAGCGAACAGG
This 253-nucleotide ribosomal RNA is filed under the name uncultured bacterium. RNAcentral's name for it is "partial 16S ribosomal RNA". It matches the Rfam family "Bacterial small subunit ribosomal RNA", at positions 524 to 776 of the family's 1533-position model. The record is from RNAcentral.